This 3488-nucleotide long non-coding RNA is filed under the name Macaca mulatta (Rhesus monkey). Its description in RNAcentral is "lncRNA (ENSMMUG00000065183.1)". The record is from RNAcentral. Lineage: Eukaryota; Metazoa; Chordata; Mammalia; Primates; Cercopithecidae.
AUGGAACAUAAGGUAAUCAACAAAAGACCAAAUGAAAGGCAGAAACAGGCCUGUCAUCUUUCUGUUCAUGCGGUUGCUGUUACCUCAGAACAAAUGAACAACAACAACAGAACUUUUCGUCUUCUCAGACUACCUUACUUCAUCUUAGCCACCAAGGACAACGGAGGUGCCAGCCUCUAUGACAAGCCCUCCCUGCCCUGCUUCAGGUUGGGCUGUGUGUUCUUCCUCGUUACUCCCACUGCAUCCAGCAUAUUUCCUUACAACGGUAAUAAAAUGGGACUGAUUUGCUUGGCUGGGUUCGCCACUGGUUGUAGCUCUGUAGCUCUUUGAGGUAUGGAAUAUCUUUUCCAUGUUCUUCGCAUUUUAGCACAAUGACAGGCACCCAAAUGGCAGUCAAUAAACGUUUGUAGACUGAACCAUGUUUAAAUGACUUACAGCAGUGUGUAAUGCAGAGUGAAGUGCUGUCUUGAGGCAGGUUCCAUUAAACUCCUGAUUUGAUUUUGCUCUGGAAAUUUCCAGAGUCUAAGUAGUCUGAGAGUCCUAUAUAUAAAAAAUAUACACAUCAACUUUUGCCAUUCAAAGAUGAUUUACAUAAUUAUAAAAACAAUAUAUUAAAGUACUGUUGUUUUACAUUUCAGGAAUAUUUUCCAUUGAUAAAUGAGAGUUUCUGAUUAAUCUGAAUAACUAAAUUUAAGCUUUCAAAGCUGGGAUGUUAAUGGUAGUCUUUAACAAAUUGUACCCACUUUUUAGACUGUUAUAAAUUAUAAAGUGCACUGGUACUAAACUUCCCAACUCAAAUCACAGUGAUGUUUCAUAAAUUUAUUUGAUAACGUUAUUCAUUAAUUUGUGUGAGAAAGACAGUUGUCAUGGUAAUAACUUAAAAUGAAGUGAAACACAAUCCUGGUCACGUUUGCUAAAGCAGGCGAAUCUGCUCUAUUGCAUUGCAUUUUUCUAAUUUAAACAUAACUGAAGCAAAAUACAAAGGGAAUUUAAAAUAAACAUUUAGGGGUGUUUUCACUAUAUAUAUAAAAAAUAAAGUUUCAAAAAUCCCCCAAUUUGGAGAGUCAGUUCUAUUGGCAUACUCGAUAUUCACAUUCCUGAGUUUUCCAUAAAAUGCAGAUUGUAUUCAGAAUGAUUCAGAUCAAUAAUGCAACUGGGCUUUCGUCUGAGUUUCAGAGAGUGAGAUAGUAAAAUGGCUGAGAGGUGUCUGGAGAAGAAGGCAAACAGAUGCGAUUAUUUCUGCGAACAAACGUGUUAUCUUUGACUCCCUACCCAAUCUAUUUGGUUUGUCAUAACUUGCCAUGAUGAUAAUUAGGUGACAGAACAAAUGAAUGUGCUUUCAUGGAAGAAUGGCCGAUGCUAAAAAUAAUAAAAAAGGCAAUACCUGAGCUUGAGUAAUUUUAUUAUUGUGCAUUCAGAGAGUUUUGAAAUCUAUGGAAUUCCUGCUGGGAAACAAAUUUUCCUCACUGAAUGGAUCAUUAAAAAGUCCAUUUACUAUAACAAAAUGCAUGUUCUGAAUGUGUAUACAUUUGAAUUUGUAGAUUUUUUCCCCCUCAAGUAGAGAUGAUUGAAUUUCAUUGAUAUAAUUUAAAAAGAGUGAAACAAAUUUCUUAAUACUAAGUAGUUUUAUUUUUUUGGUAAAUGUUGCUAUGUUCAAAUAACAUUUGGCAAAAAUCAUUGCUUAUAGCAUUCUGUGUAAGGAAAAUAAAAUGUUGUCUCUCAAAUUGUAAGGUAUAUUUUAUUGUUUACUUGAAAGUUUAGUGCUGUAUUUUAGAUAAAAUAUAUUCAACGUCUUAGAGUAGCAGUCAUCUCUGCAUUUUAGAGCCAAAACCUCAAAACAAAUCAGGCUUAUGUGUGUAAAAUAUGUGCAUAUUUUUAAUUGCUGCAGAAAACACAAAUACACAUAACAUUUUUACAUAAUCCCAGCCUCUUAACAAAUGUUACAGUAAGAUACCAAUUGGUGAGGUUCAAAAAAUUAAGAUGUGGAUGAAAAAUAAAAUUCCGCCUCUCAAAAAUUGCGUGGGAUGCCAUUUACAUUUUAAUUCCAAGAAAACUCAAAUAUCAAUAAGACAAUCUUUUUGGUUGUUUUACUCAUAAUGUAAGAUAUUCAGGUAGUUUUUAAAUUGUUUAAAUUUUAGGUUUGGGAGUACAUGUGAAGGUUUGUUACACAGGUAAACACGUGUCUUGGGGCUUUGUUGUACAUAUUAUUACAUCACCCAGGUAUUAAGCCCAGUAAAAUCCCAACAAAUUCACAUAUAAUCUUAUCCAUGUGACAGUAAGUGUCCAAAUAAACAAUUAAAAGAGAGUACUAAAUUUUCAUAACUUACCCUGUGUGAUAUUAAAUGAGAACAUAUUUAGUUUCAGCCAGGUAAUUGACUCGAUUCCUCGUGUCUGGUAUGUAACUGUUAAAAUUGAAAUACAGAUAAAGUAGAUUAUUUAAUUUUUGAAUUGUGUACAUUUCUGUGUGUACCAAAUGAGGAGAAAAGUCACAAACCCAAUUCCCAAAUGCUAGGUGUUGCAUAUGAGAUGAAGGUUUUAGUUAUGCAACAACAACAAUGAUUUCUCUGUAGAGUACAAUCUUUAAAAAUAACUUUCAGGGUGCUGAUUUUCAUAAUUACAAAUAAGUGCAAUUUAGCUAGUAAUUAAAACGAAAAUGUUAACAAAGGCUCUGCAUUGAUGCCUCUUUUGCAAGUACAUGCAAAUGUUUUGAGGCAGUCUGUCUCCAUGCUUAAUCUUACUUGAAAAUUUCCCUGAAGAUAUUCCUUGCCUUACAAAGCGAAGUGAAUUGUUUGAAAAAAUAUUAAAGAGUAAUUUUCUAUAUUAUUUUUUUAAAAAAUCUACAAUUAUUCGCAAUACCUUAGGGUAUAAGUAACAGCAUAAUAAACCUAUUUUGGCACUAGCACCCCUUUAUCCCUACCAAUUCAUGUACUCAGACCCACUUUAUAUGUCUAUUCCAGAAAAUUUCAAGAUGUAGUAAUCACUAACAGUAAUGUUAUCCUGUUCGGAUAGUAAAAAUUUUAACUUUUUUGAAUAAUUGGAACAAAUUACUUCUUUUAGCAAAGUAUACAUUGUAAUGACCAUACAUUAUCUUGUUAGCAGACCCAUAUAUUAGGCAUAUUUACUACUAUUCUCUGAUUUACUUUGAGAUCAAGCUUUGUUCUAUUGUCUAAUAGGUUCAAACAUUUUCUUUUGUAAAGAAAAUGUAUUACUAUUUUAUGAAGAACGUAACCUAUGAUUUUUUUAAUGUUUCCAGUGAAUUUUCUUCUGGCUUAAAUAAUAUUUCUUCAAAUAAAGCAAGUUAAAUUAAAUUUGCAAUAUAAUUUCUAGUUCUUUUCUCUAGAGCCAUUACAAAUGACUUUUACUACAGCACUCACUAUAGUAUAUCAUUUAUAGUAUAUCAUGAUACAUUAAAUUUAUAGAAAAUGUACUCAAAUUGAUCUUUUAAAAAAUUUUCACUAAUGUGUAUAUUCAUACUAGAAUAUAAAUUC